This 466-nucleotide long non-coding RNA is filed under the name Hordeum vulgare. RNAcentral describes it as "long non-coding RNA (HVUL_LNC008768)". Lineage: Eukaryota; Viridiplantae; Streptophyta; Magnoliopsida; Poales; Poaceae. The record is from RNAcentral.
GAUAAUUUACACGUACGGCACAUUCGUACUCUCAUACUUUUCCCCGGUAAAAUUCACACAGCACAUCAUGCUGCAUCGCACGCACGCAUGCAGCUGAGCAUCAACAGCCGACGGCGGCGGACGGGCAAUCAACGGCCAGCUCACAGGCUGGGCACCCUCUCGGCGGCGCCGGAGAUGACGGUGAGCAGGUUGUUGCCGAAGGGGUCGCUGAGGUGGGCGCACAGGUUCUCGAAGGGCCCCUCGCCGGUGACGUAGGCCUGGAUGAAGAAGCCCAGCAUGGAGAACAUGGCCAGCCGUCCGUUCUUGAUCUCCUUCACCUUGAGCAGCGCCGCCUGGUCGGGGUCGGUGGCGAGGCCGAGCGGGUCGAACGGGCCGCCUGGGUGGAGCUUGUCAUCGAAUUCCUGCCGGAGAAGUUGACGAAACCGUUGGUCAGUACAAGGACGUACGCCUGGCUGCCGUAACGCAC